This 396-nucleotide ribosomal RNA is filed under the name uncultured bacterium. RNAcentral describes it as "partial 16S ribosomal RNA". It matches the Rfam family "Bacterial small subunit ribosomal RNA", at positions 523 to 918 of the family's 1533-position model. The record is from RNAcentral.
AUACGUAGGUGACAAGCGUUAUCCGGAUUUACUGGGUGUAAAGGGCGCGUAGGCGGGAAUGCAAGUCAGGUGUGAAAUCUAGGGGCUCAACCCCUAAACUGCACUUGAAACUGCGUUUCUUGAGUGAAGUAGAGGUAGGCGGAAUUCCGAGUGUAGCGGUGGAAUGCGUAGAUAUUCGGAGGAACACCAGUGGCGAAGGCGGCCUACUGGGCUUUAACUGACGCUGAGGCUCGAAAGUGUGGGGAGCAAACAGGAUUAGAUACCCUGGUAGUCCACACUGUAAACGAUGAUUACUAGGUGUGGGGGGUCUGACCCCUUCUGUGCCGUAGUUAACGCAAUAAGUAAUCCACCUGGGGAGUACGAUCGCAAGGUUGAAACUCAAAUGAAUUGACGGGG